RNAcentral lists this ribosomal RNA (207 nucleotides) under uncultured bacterium. RNAcentral describes it as "partial 16S ribosomal RNA". It matches the Rfam family "Bacterial small subunit ribosomal RNA", at positions 568 to 774 of the family's 1533-position model. The record is from RNAcentral.
UGCGCAGGCGGGUCUAUAAGUCAGUGGUGAAAGCCUCGAGCUCAACUCGGGAAUUGCCAUUGAUACUGUAGACCUUGAGUAUAGUUGAGGUAGGCGGAAUGAAUCAUGUAGCGGUGAAAUGCAUAGAUAUGAUUCAGAACACCAAUUGCGAAGGCAGCUUACUAAACUAUAACUGACGCUGAGGCACGAAAGCGGUGGGAGCGAACA